Molecule: ribosomal RNA, 510 nt
Filed under: uncultured bacterium
Lineage: Bacteria
Description: partial 16S ribosomal RNA
Rfam family: Bacterial small subunit ribosomal RNA
Source: RNAcentral
GACGAACGCUGGCGGCGUGCUUAACACAUGCAAGUCGAACGAAGAGCGAUGGAAGCUUGCUUCUCUCAAUCUUAGUGGCGAACGGGUGAGUAACGCGUAAUCAACCUGCCCUUCAGAGGGGGACAACAGUUGGAAACGACUGCUAAUACCGCAUACGAUCUAACCUCGGCAUCGAGGAAAGAUGAAAGGUGGCCUCUAUGUAUAAGCUAUCACUGAAGGAGGGGAUUGCGUCUGAUUAGCUAGUUGGAGGGGUAACGGCCCACCAAGGCGAUGAUCAGUAGCCGGUCUGAGAGGAGGAACGGCCACAUUGGGACUGAGACACGGCCCAGACUCCUACGGGAGGCAGCAGUGGGGAAUCUUCCGCAAUGGACGAAAGUCUGACGGAGCAACGCCGCGUGAGUGAUGACGGCCUUCGGGUUGUAAAGCUCUGUUAAUCGGGACGAAAGGCCUUCUUGCGAAUAGGGAGAAGGAUUGACGGUACCGGAAGAGAAAGCCACGGCUAACUACGUG